This 442-nucleotide ribosomal RNA is filed under the name uncultured bacterium. RNAcentral's name for it is "bacterial SSU rRNA". It matches the Rfam family "Bacterial small subunit ribosomal RNA", at positions 29 to 516 of the family's 1533-position model. The record is from RNAcentral.
AGCGAACGCUGGCGGCAGGCCUAACACAUGCAAGUCGAACGGAUCCUUCGGGAUUAGUGGCGGACGGGUGAGUAACACGUGGGAACGUGCCCUUUGGUUCGGAACAACUCAGGGAAACUUGAGCUAAUACCGGAUGUGCCCUUCGGGGAAAGAUUUAUCGCCAUUGGAGCGGCCCGCGUCUGAUUAGCUAGUUGGUGAGGUAAAGGCUCACCAAGGCGACGAUCAGUAGCUGGUCUGAGAGGAUGAUCAGCCACAUUGGGACUGAGACACGGCCCAAACUCCUACGGGAGGCAGCAGUGGGGAAUCUUGCGCAAUGGGCGAAAGCCUGACGCAGCCAUGCCGCGUGAAUGAUGAAGGUCUUAGGAUUGUAAAAUUCUUUCACCGGGGACGAUAAUGACGGUACCCGGAGAAGAAGACCCCGGCUAACUUCGUGCCAGCAGCC